Molecule: small nuclear RNA, 101 nt
Organism: Mustela putorius furo (domestic ferret)
Lineage: Eukaryota; Metazoa; Chordata; Mammalia; Carnivora; Mustelidae
Source: Ensembl
AUCCCUUUGGCAGCACAUAUACUGAAAUUGGAAUGAUACAGAGAAGAUCAGUGUGGCUCCUUACUAGGAUGACACACCCAUUUGACGUGUUCCAUAUUUUU